RNAcentral lists this ribosomal RNA (467 nucleotides) under uncultured bacterium. Its description in RNAcentral is "partial 16S ribosomal RNA". It matches the Rfam family "Bacterial small subunit ribosomal RNA", at positions 28 to 507 of the family's 1533-position model. The record is from RNAcentral.
GACGAACACUGGCGGCGUGCUUAACACAUGCAAGUCGAACGGAAAGGCCCUGCUUUUGUGGGGUGCUCGAGUGGCGAACGGGUGAGUAACACGUGAGUAACCUGCCCUUGACUUUGGGAUAACUUCAGGAAACUGGGGCUAAUACCGGAUAGGAGCUCCUGCUGCAUGUGGGGGUUGGAAAGUUUCGGCGGUUGGGGAUGGACUCGCGGCUUAUCAGCUUGUUGGUGGGGUAGUGGCUUACCAAGGCUUUGACGGGUAGCCGGCCUGAGAGGGUGACCGGCCACAUUGGGACUGAGAUACGGCCCAGACUCCUACGGGAGGCAGCAGUGGGGAAUAUUGCACAAUGGGCGGAAGCCUGAUGCAGCAACGCCGCGUGCGGGAUGACGGCCUUCGGGUUGUAAACCGCUUUCGCCUGUGACGAAGCGUGAGUGACGGUAAUGGGUAAAGAAGCACCGGCUAACUACGUG